CACAGGUGCUGCAUGGCUGUCGUCAGCUCGUGUCGUGAGAUGUUCGGUUAAGUCCGCUAACGAGCGCAACCCUCACUGUGUGUUACAUGUGUCACACGGGACUGCCGGUUUAAGCCGGAGGAAGGCGAGGAUGACGUCAAGUCAGCAUGGCCUUUAUAUCUUGGGCUACACACACGCUACAAUGGUCUGUACAGUAGGUUGCCAAGCCGCGAGGCGGAGCCAAUCCUUAAAGCAGGCCUCAGUUCAGAUUGCAGGCUGCAACCCGCCUGCAUGAAGAUGGAGUUGCUAGUAACCGCAGGUCAGCUAUACUGCGGUGAAUACGUUCCCGGGUCUU
Molecule: ribosomal RNA, 334 nt
Filed under: uncultured Anaerolineaceae bacterium
Lineage: Bacteria; Bacillati; Chloroflexota; Anaerolineae; Anaerolineales; Anaerolineaceae
Description: bacterial SSU rRNA
Rfam family: Bacterial small subunit ribosomal RNA
Source: RNAcentral